AACGCGAAGAACCUUACCAAGGUUUGACAUGCAGGGAAAAGCCGUAGAGAUAUGGUGUCCGUAAGGGCCCUGCACAGGUGGUGCAUGGCUGUCGUCAGCUCGUGUCGUGAGAUGUUGGGUUAAGUCCCGCAACGAGCGCAACCCUCGUCCUAUGUUGCCAGCGGGUUAUGCCGGGGACUCAUAGGAGACUGCCGGGGUCAACUCGGAGGAAGGUGGGGAUGACGUCAAGUCAUCAUGCCCCUUAAGUCUUGGGCUGCAAACAUGCUACAAUGGCCGGUACAGAGGGCUGCGAGACCGUAAGGUGGAGCGAAUCUCAAAAAGCCGGUCUCAGUUCGGAUUGGGGUCUGCAACUCGACCCCAUGAAGUCGGAGUCGCUAGUAAUCGCGAAUCAGCAACGUCGCGGUGAAUACGUUCCCGGGCCUUGUA
This 426-nucleotide ribosomal RNA is filed under the name uncultured Actinomycetes bacterium. RNAcentral's name for it is "bacterial SSU rRNA". It matches the Rfam family "Bacterial small subunit ribosomal RNA", at positions 958 to 1385 of the family's 1533-position model. The record is from RNAcentral. Lineage: Bacteria; Bacillati; Actinomycetota; Actinomycetes.